Molecule: ribosomal RNA, 465 nt
Filed under: Vreelandella stevensii
Lineage: Bacteria; Pseudomonadati; Pseudomonadota; Gammaproteobacteria; Oceanospirillales; Halomonadaceae
Description: partial 16S ribosomal RNA
Rfam family: Bacterial small subunit ribosomal RNA
Source: RNAcentral
CCUACGGGAGGCAGCAGUGGGGAAUAUUGGACAAUGGGGGCAACCCUGAUCCAGCCAUGCCGCGUGUGUGAAGAAGGCCCUCGGGUUGUAAAGCACUUUCAGUGAGGAAGAACGCCUGGUGGUUAAUACCCAUCAGGAAAGACAUCACUCACAGAAGAAGCACCGGCUAACUCCGUGCCAGCAGCCGCGGUAAUACGGAGGGUGCGAGCGUUAAUCGGAAUUACUGGGCGUAAAGCGCGCGUAGGUGGCUUGAUAAGCCGGUUGUGAAAGCCCCGGGCUCAACCUGGGAACGGCAUCCGGAACUGUCAAGCUAGAGUGCAGGAGAGGAAGGUAGAAUUCCCGGUGUAGCGGUGAAAUGCGUAGAGAUCGGGAGGAAUACCAGUGGCGAAGGCGGCCUUCUGCACUGACACUGACACUGAGGUGCGAAAGCGUGGGUAGCAAACAGGAUUAGAUACCCGUGUAGUC